This 562-nucleotide ribosomal RNA is filed under the name Xingzhongia hampshirensis. RNAcentral describes it as "eukaryotic LSU rRNA". The stretch from base 207 to 360 matches the Rfam family "5.8S ribosomal RNA". The record is from RNAcentral. Lineage: Eukaryota; Fungi; Ascomycota; Saccharomycetes; Phaffomycetales; Wickerhamomycetaceae.
UUCCGUAGGUGAACCUGCGGAAGGGAUCAUUAUAGUAUUCUAUUGCCAGCGCUUAAUUGCGCGGCGAUAAACCUUACACACAUUGUUUAUUUCUUUUGAACUUUGCUUUGGGUGGAGCUUGUCUCUGCCCAGAGGUUAACUAAACACAAGAUUUUAUAUCUUUUAUUUUAAAACUAGUCAAGAAGUAAUUAUAACUAAAUCUUCAAAACUUUCAACAACGGAUCUCUUGGUUCUCGCAACGAUGAAGAACGCAGCGAAAUGCGAUACGUAAUGUGAAUUGCAGGUUUUCGUGAAUCAUCGAAUCUUUGAACGCACAUUGCGCCCUCUGGUAUUCCAGAGGGCAUGCCUGUUUGAGCGUCAUUUCUCUCUUCAAACCUUUGGGUUUGGUAUUGAGUGAUACUCUUUCUUUGGGUUAACUUGAAAUAUAGUUUUGGCAAGAGUGUGUCUACGUGGACUCUUGAUUGACAUAAUGUAUUAGGUUCUACCAACUCGUUAUAUCGGUCUUGAAUAAACUUGACAGUCUAGCUCGGCCUAACAACUUUCACAAAGUUUGACCUCAAAU